GAUGUGCCCCUUCUUACAAAAUUGACACCUGUUCCUUUUCCUGGAUUUAUGGUCAUUUUAACCUUGCUUCAUUUGUUGGCACAUGUAUUUUUUCCUUCUUCAUUUGUUGACACCUGCAGUUUGUCUUUCUUCAUUUGUUUACGCGUAAGUUGAGGGAGCUGGUGCCGGAGCAAGCAAAAAGCCAUACCUCAAUUACAUGCCACAGCUUCCUUUAUUGCUCAAAUUCAGGCUGCCACCGUUUUCCUCCAUAGGAAAGAGAUUCGUGGGACCAUCGAAGGUUACAGAGGAUAUGGAUACUGAUCGUUAAAUUCAUUAACCACUGGCAUGAGAUCAAAGCAGCACCUCUAGCAAGGAAGAAUAGUUGGCAACUAACCAUCAUUAACCUUGGACUGAGCAGCUUCCAUUCUCACUUGUUAAAGGCCCGAGAUGGUUUUCCCUUUGCUGGUCUUAUUGAUUUACAAGGUGCUUUGAUAAAGAGGUGUUUGGGUCUAAAAACUCUUAAUCAAAGAAGAAAAUGUUUCACCAAAAGAAAAUCAAGGGUAUGUAAUCAUUUUGUGUUGGUGCCUAAUCAAUCUUGAUAUGAAAUAAAAGGGUACAAAAUUGGAAAUCGGUUGCUUCUCAUGAGACUGAAUAGUUAUUCUUGAAGGUUGAUGCUACUAUCUUCUAAAAGGUAUAUUACAUUAUUGAAGUUUUUAAUUUAUAUUUUUCUCUCAAUGAUUUCAUUUACAUCAUUGCAUUAUGAAGUGUUAAUCCCCUUCUUUUCCCUUUUUCUGAGCAUCUUCCUUUCAUUUUUGGUGAGUGGUUACAUGUAUAUAUUUAUGUACACUUCAUCUCAUUUUUUUUAACCAAUUGAUUGCUUGCAAUUAAGUUGAUGGUGCUUGCAUAGAACAAAAACAAGGAAAGAGUUAUUGCUGUCAACACUCAUGGUCAACAUGUUCUCUAUUAGGCUGAAGUGUAUCAGCACUAGAGCUUUUGUUUGCAUUUUCUUGGACAAGGGACUCCAAUAGGUGCUACUGGGCACCGUGCGCCACUACUUUGCUGAGUUGCCUCUCUCUGACAUUGACACUCGCACUUAUACAUCUUUGGGGCUCUGUAUGAGGAGUUAACUAGAAAAGUUGUCACUUUGGUGGCAGAGAAUGAAAACCUAAAGAGGGAGAAAGAAUUGGCUUUGAAAGAGUAUGAGUCUUUGGAGACUACAAAUAAGAACUUGAAGACACAGAUAGCCAAGUCAAUAAACACUGAAGUGGAGAAAACUCCUGUUGAGCCUGUGUCAUCUGUGGCUGAGAUAACACCUUCAUCCGGUAAUGGUCCAUGGUUCCUUUAUAACCUUUUUCCAGUUCCACAAAUAUUUUGGCCUUCCAUCCUUCAAUCUUCUAAUCCAAUUCAUCUACAAAAUACAUCAUUUAAUUCCAUCGCCAUUCCACCUAAUGCUAAUGUUUCAUGUUCUUCUGAGUCUGAAUCACAUCACAAGCAAAAUAACCUUAUAAAUGAUAAUCGAACUCGAGUAAUCACUUUUUAAAAUUUUAUUUUGAUCUAUCCUUUUGAUUUUUGAGGUUGUAAGUUUCUUUCUUUAGCUUAAUCACUAGAAGAAGAUAAGAAAGCUUUUGAAAUGACUGAGUCAAAAGAGGCAACAUUGCUUGAAGCAGAGAAGAUUUCCUGUCGUAAAUCUGAAGUGGAUUUCAAGUUCCUGUGUUUUUUGCUGGUUUCUCAAGUCAAGAAUUGGGAAGUAACACAUUCCUGUUUUUGGGAUUUAUUGUUCUUUAUUAUUAUUAUUAUUAUUAUUAUUAAGUCAUGUUUUAGGAAAUUGGACGAUCUGAUGGUGCAACUUCUCCAGCAGUUGAGGCUUUAACCUUCUCUCAUACUUACUGUUUGCUGCUAGCUUUAAUUCAAUUUAGUUGUCCACCAUUUUUUCCUGCAUUAUUUAAAUUCUACCCAUCUUAAUUCUUUGCUUUAUAUUUUUUAAGCAUUUAAUUUAAACCUGAUUCUUGCUCAGUUUCAGUUGGUGAUAUCUGAUUAUGCUACGAUUGACAGUGUAGUGUGCUUAUUAGAUAAAAGCAUUCUGAGUGCACAUGCUUUGAUGCAUUUGUUUUUUAUCUUUUCUAGACUCUAGAAUGUCAUGUCUCAUGAUAAUUGAGAUGAACUAAUUUUGAAUUUUGUCAUUAAGUUAGGCCAUUUUUUUUAUAUAAUCUUGGACUGCUUUGGUCGUUCAACUUCUUUGUAAGGAAAGAAAAGAAGAAUAGUUUCAAAUAUGUAGGUUUCCUGUUUUCGGGAUUUAUUGUUCUUUAUUAUUAUUAUUAUUAUUAUUAUUAUUAUUAUUAUUAUUAUUAUUAUUAUUAUUAUUAUUAAGUCAUGUUUUAGGAAAUUGUCGGAUAUGAUGGUGCAACUUCUCCAACAGUUGAGGCUUUAACCUUAUCUCAUACUUACUGUUUGCUGCUAGCUUUAAUUCAAUUUAGUUGUCCACCAUUUUUUCCUACAUUAUUUAAAUUCUACUCAUCUUAAUUUUUUAAGCAUUUAAUUUAAACAUGAUUCUUGCCGAGUUUCAGUUGGUGAUAUCUGAUUUUGCUUGACAGGGUAGUGUGCUUAUUAGAUAAAAGCAUUGUGAGUGCACAUGCUCUGAUGCAUUUAUUUUUCAUCUUUUCUAGACUCUAGAAUGUCAUGUCUCGUGAUAAUUGAGAUUAUCUAAUUUUGAAUUUUGUCAUUAAGUUAGGCCAUUUUUUUUAUAUAAUCUUGGACUGCGUUGGUCGUUCAACUUCUUCGUAAGGAAAGAAAAGAAGAAUACCCUAAUUGUAUUUUUUCUCUUAUGUAUAUUAUUAUUAUUAAGUCAUGUUUUAGGGAAAGAAAAGAAGAAUACCCCAAAUUAAAUUAGCAAAUUUUAAUGUCUAAUGAAAUUUGACUCCAUUUGAGAGAAUGAAAAUCUAUACUGUUUGCAAUUAAACCUUAUAUAGUUGAAUCCUGUUAUUGGUAGAAAAGGUGUUGUCCAACCAUGGUACGAUUUUCUUGAAGAAAUGAAUUUUGAUGAUGGAGAUGAAAUCUCUAUUUACUAUAGGUAUUAUGAAAAAAUUUGUGAUAUCAUAAUUAGGAGGCAGAAGGAUUGGGAGGAUACUGAGCAACUAGACUACCUUUAGUUCCAACAAACUCUAUUAAUGUUUACUUAUCCUAUUUUGUUGUUAAUCAACUUUGUUCUCAAUCAACAUUUUGCUAUUAA
This is a long non-coding RNA of Glycine soja, 3205 nucleotides long. RefSeq lists it as uncharacterized. The record is from RefSeq and is a predicted model, not a curated record. NCBI's taxonomy places the organism in Eukaryota, Viridiplantae, Streptophyta, Magnoliopsida, Fabales, Fabaceae. The transcript is spliced from 8 exons.